CUGUGAGUAUACUUAGUGGCGGACGGGUGAGUAACGCGUGAGCAAUCUGCCCUGCAAUGGGGGACAACAGUUGGAAACGACUGCUAAUACCGCAUAAGACCACGAAACCGCAUGGUUUAGAGGUAAAAGGAUUCAUUCGAUGCAGGAUGAGCUCGCGUCCCAUUAGAUAGUUGGUGAGGUAACGGCCCACCAAGUCAACGAUGGGUAGCCGACCUGAGAGGGUGAUCGGCCACAUUGGAACUGAGAAACGGUCCAAACUCCUACGGGAGGCAGCAGUGGGGAAUAUUGGGCAAUGGGGGAAACCCUGACCCAGCAACGCCGCGUGAAGGAAGAAGGCCUUCGGGUUGUAAACUUUUGUCCUAUGGGACGAAAAAAAUGACGGUACCAUAGGAGGAAGCUCCGGCUAACUACGUGCCAGCAGCCGCGGUAAUACGUAGGGAGCAAGCGUUGUCCGGAAUUACUGGGCGUAAAGGGUGCGUAGGUGGCCAUGUAAGUCAGGUGUGAAAGACCGGGGCUCAACCCCGGGGUUGCACUUGAAACUGUGUGGCUUGAGUACAGGAGAGGGAAGUGGAAUUCCUAGUGUAGCGGUGAAAUGCGUAGAUAUUAGGAGGAACACCAGUGGCGAAGGCGACUUUCUGGACUGUAACUGACACUGAGGCACGAAAGCGUGGGGAGCAAACAGGAUUAGAUACCCUGGUAGUCCACGCCGUAAACGAUGGAUACUAGGUGUGGGGGGCGAUAGUCCUCCGUGCCGAAGCUAACGCAUUAAGUAUCCCGCCUGGGGAGUACGAUCGCAAGGUUGAAACUCAAAGGAAUUGACGGGGGCCCGCACAAGCAGCGGAGCAUGUGGUUUAAUUCGAAGCAACGCGAAGAACCUUACCAAGGCUUGACAUCCUCUGACGCAUAUAGAGAUAUAUGUUCCCUUCGGGGCAGAGAGACAGGUGGUGCAUGGUUGUCGUCAGCUCGUGUCGUGAGAUGUUGGGUUAAGUCCCGCAACGAGCGCAACCCUUGUUGCUAGUUGCCAGCACGUAAAGGUGGGAACUCUAGUGAGACUGCCGGGGACAACUCGGAGGAAGGUGGGGACGACGUCAAAUCAUCAUGCCCCUUAUGUCUUGGGCUACACACGUGCUACAAUGGCCGGUACAAAGGGCAGCGACCUCGUAAGAGUAAGCGAAUCUCAAAAAGCCGGCCCCAGUUCGGAUUGUGGGCUGCAACCCGCCCACAUGAAGUCGGAGUUGCUAGUAAUCGCGAAUCAGCA
RNAcentral lists this ribosomal RNA (1258 nucleotides) under Christensenella hongkongensis. RNAcentral describes it as "bacterial SSU rRNA". It matches the Rfam family "Bacterial small subunit ribosomal RNA", at positions 80 to 1354 of the family's 1533-position model. The record is from RNAcentral. Lineage: Bacteria; Bacillati; Bacillota; Clostridia; Christensenellales; Christensenellaceae.